CAAUAAUCUAAAAGUUGAUAUGACUGAAGUUUAACACUAGGAUAAGCAAUAGAUUAUGCAAUUGUUUCCGCUAUAAGCUGGUUUUAUCGGGGUUCAAUGAUUGAUUCCGUAACAUUAUUUACAGACCAUGUGGAGUUGCUUUGUGAUUGAAAAUUACCGCUGGAGAUGUUUGCAUACGUAAAUGUAGGCUGUUUUGGUUCAGGAAG
RNAcentral lists this unclassified non-coding RNA (206 nucleotides) under Hevea brasiliensis (rubber tree). Lineage: Eukaryota; Viridiplantae; Streptophyta; Magnoliopsida; Malpighiales; Euphorbiaceae. The record is from RNAcentral.